Molecule: long non-coding RNA, 1387 nt
Filed under: Anas zonorhyncha (Eastern spot-billed duck)
Lineage: Eukaryota; Metazoa; Chordata; Aves; Anseriformes; Anatidae
Description: lncRNA (ENSAZOG00000003179.1)
Source: RNAcentral
GAUAUGUUUUCUAGGAUAAAAGCCAACAUGGAUUCUGAACUCUGCUCCAGCUUUCCCCCCCAUGUUUGAAGACCCUUCGAUGUGGUGAUGGGAUUUUCAGCACACCGUCAAAACUUUUCCUAGUUUUCAAUUCAUACUCCACUCCUCUGAAGCGAAUCAUAGUGUCAUUCCCAGUGCAUGCAGCCAUUGUACUGAAUUCUGUAGAGUUUUUCCCUCAUCAUAUUUGUAUAUACCUUUAUUUAAAUAAAUUAUUUGUGCAUUCCAAAAUACAACAUACUAAAUGAAAACAAGCACUCCUGUCAUUGGUAUAGCAAACAAUGGUUUUAAACAAUUAAAACUGAAUUAUAACCUCCCUGCAGUCUAACGUAGUAUGGACAACAACACUGUCACCGUUAAUACAGUAAUUAGUAUGCAAAGUAAUAUAAAGGCAUCAUUUAAAGUGGCCUCAAACUCUGCUCAGCUGUUGGAUUUAUACAAAACUGUUUAAAAUAAUUUAUCAUGUACUACAUAAUUUAGGAAAAGACUGUUCCAAGAGGAGAUUGCUUAGAAUCACCAUACUAAAAACUUAGUAUGUACACUGACAAAUGCAUUAAAAUUAAAUUUCAAAAUACAAAGGAAUGAAGUGACGGCUUAAUUCUCCUAACUCCUCCGAACUGGUUUGAAGCCUGGGUGUAAGCCUGAGCUAGGAAUUUUAAAUGAAACAGGUAUAACAUGUUUGUUUUGGCAAUAUGCAAAGCAGCAGAAAACAGUAUCUAAAGUAACUCAUAAAACAGGACAAUUGUACAGCCACUUGUGCCAAAAAGGAGACAUCUAAUAUUGCUUAAAUUAAUGGGCAUGCUGCUUAAUCACAGGAGCGUGCUGGUAAAUUACAAGCCUUUGGGUACCUGCACUCUGAGCACUUCUCUCAUUUGGAAAUAUUCAUAGUUUGUUUUCACCACAAGAAUGUACCUGGAGUGGGACAAGGGGAACUGCCUUCAUUUUGUUUUUCUAUAUUUUUAAUGAAUUUCAUCACUAGCCUAGUAAGGAAGUUACUUAUAUGUAAGGACUUUGGAGGAAUGCCCCAAUGUUUUUGUUCAAAGUAACAUAAGAUAAUGGCAGCAUGGGUUACCCUUGUUCUUAAGUGGUUUUUAUUCAGAGAGGCUCAUCUUGCAGUAUGGUCAUAUGCAACAUGACACAGAUGCUGAUUCUUGGUUCCUGAUAUAGAAGCACAAUUUCUUUUCUUUAAACACCAGAACUGGAUAUUGUGUAAUGAGGCACAUUAAAUGUUCCAGGUUGGAGAAGAAUCAGCGUGAAGGUUAAUACAUUUCCAUCUCACUCCUGAUGUUUAAGUGUUUUCACAAGGCUGUUGCCCGCAGGAAAGAUGCAUCAGUACAAGUCAGUUCCAGAC